GUGCCAGCCGCCGCGGUAAUACCGGCAGCCCGAGUGAUGACCGAUCUUAUUGGGCCUAAAGCGUCCGUAGCCAGCCGAACAAGUCCGUUGGGAAAUCCACGCGCUCAACGCGUGGGCGUCCAGCGGAAAUUAUCCGGCUUGGGGCCGGAAGACUCGAGGGGUACGUCCGGGGUAGGAGUGAAAUCCCGUAAUCCUGGACGGACCACCGGUGGCGAAAGCGCCUCGAGAAGACGGACCCGACGGUGAGGAACGAAAGCCAGGGUCUCGAACCGGAUUAGAUACCCGAGUAGUCC
RNAcentral lists this ribosomal RNA (293 nucleotides) under uncultured bacterium. RNAcentral's name for it is "partial 16S ribosomal RNA". It matches the Rfam family "Archaeal small subunit ribosomal RNA", at positions 455 to 747 of the family's 1478-position model. The record is from RNAcentral.